GCGCUUCGCCUCGGGCGGCUGAGGCAUACCUGAGGGCCCGAAGACCCCCUCUUGUUUCGCCUCUGCGGCGCCAAAGGUCGCGACCACACCUCUUUUCAACGCCACAGUGGUCUCCGCAGGCUAUUCUGUCUUCGCACACCUGACACGAUGUGACCCUCUGCCUGGAGCUGGAACCAUGGUGCUGCGUUUGGCAACUCAUUUUCACCUCACCUUUCCUGAUCUGUAGAGAUGGAGUUUCUCCAUGUUGGUCAGGCCAGUCUCAAACACCCAACCUCAGGUGAUCCGCCUGCCACGGCCUCCCAAAGUGCUGGCGUCACAGGUGUGAGCCACCGCGCCUUGCCUCAGUUGUGAAACAAACAAAGAGUUGAGAUGGAGAAUCCAAAUGGAAGCCCUGGUUUAAAUAGAACGGACUGGGAAGACCUCUCUGAAGGGAUACCAACCAUCUGGCCCUAAAACAAAUCUCAUCAGUUUAUGAACCAAGCAGCCCAAUCAGAGUGCCUAAUUCUCCCUACCACACAAUUGGUCAAGGAGGAAGCAAGUGACAUAAUCUAAAUUCUUUCCAAAGAUGGAUGCAAAUGCUAGGAAAGCAAGAGUUGAAUUGCUAGCCAUGAGGAAAACGUAAGCCUGAGCUGUUUGCUGGUCAUCUUUGCUUCCAUAUGGAGACAGCCUGCGUGGAAAGGAAGCCACACAGAGAAAACAGAAGAGCAGUGAAGAGAAAGGUAAAAGGAGAGAUCCCAUGACAUGAUUUGCACUCUUAGAUCCAGUUAUGCCUGAAGCAGGACCCACCCCUUGGACUUCCCAUUUCCAGGAGCCUAUGCAUUCUCUGUUGCUAAAACUAGAUUGAGUUGAGUUUCUAUCACCUACAAGUUGACAGAAAAUAUCAACAAUCCAGCCACAUGGAGCCUCAAGGCAGUACCACUAACCCUGGUCACCACACAAAUACUGACCAGAGGCUUUUCACCUGAAUCAACUGUUUGUGUUCUUCACUCGGUCUCCUCACCUGCUUCCUGGAAGACCUAGCUGACACAGAUGGUUACAAGAAAUGAUUUCCUCCCUAUAAAACUUUAGAUGACAAUGUGAUCGUUCACAAGCACAUUGAAAAAUUCACACCAUGGAAAAGAACUAAAGUCCCAUCCUAAUUCAUCAGAGCCUUCUGUUUCCUGUAACAAAGAAGAACUCACAAGAUCGGGAUUCCAAGAUGCCCAAAUUUUUGGAAUUGGAAAGAGCCCAAGUCUUCCAUAUCAGGGGGUGGGCCCCACUGGGUGUGAGCCAAUCAGCGUCUUCUGUCCUGUGAGCUCCUGAUUUACGCUGGUCUAUAACCUGAGAUGGCCUCCUCAGGAUGGACCCCCAGGGAUUGCUGGAACUUGGACUCUUGUCAGCCUGGUAAAUGGUAUGUCUUAGAUCUGCUGCAGCCGUCGUGGAAAGCUUGAAGCUGCCAGGAGAGAGGGGUUCCAACAUGUGGUGGCUAAAGAAUGAAUCCAACUCAGAGGAAGCAGAGCCAAGAAAUGGAUCCAUGCCGUUUGAAUCUUGGAUCAAAUUGUGCCUGGAUCUCCAGUGAGACAAUAAAUUCCUGUAUUACUCA
Molecule: long non-coding RNA, 1582 nt
Organism: Macaca mulatta (Rhesus monkey)
Lineage: Eukaryota; Metazoa; Chordata; Mammalia; Primates; Cercopithecidae
Source: Ensembl